RNAcentral lists this long non-coding RNA (4803 nucleotides) under Vitis vinifera (wine grape). Its description in RNAcentral is "long non-coding RNA (VVIN_LNC007913)". The record is from RNAcentral. Lineage: Eukaryota; Viridiplantae; Streptophyta; Magnoliopsida; Vitales; Vitaceae.
GGAAAAAUGGAUGGAUUUUUUAGGGUAACAAUGGUGAAAGUACCUGAUUUUGUAGAAUGGUUCCCUGCUCUUAGAAAUCAAUGCAGAGAUAUGUGUUUGAAGAAUUGUUCCUGCAUAGCUUAUUCCAAUAAUAAUGGCAUUGGUUGUAUGUCAUGGAGUCGGGACUUAAUUGUCAGAAUUUGUAAAAAAACUAGAACUUGCAGAGAAAAAUAAAUAAUUUGAGAGUUAAGAAUUGAAGGAAGGCACACAUCUAUUUCACAAACGAGAAUGCCUAUUUAUAGGCUUACAACCAAAUAGAAAUUGCAAAAAAAUCUCAGCUACUUUCAGAUUUUAUUGGCACUACUUCUACUAACUGAAAACAAAAAAUUAUGGAGCAAGAAUCUGAUAUGAAACAAUAACAAAGACUAAGUCUAACUAAGACUUUUUCAAACUUCAGAGGCAAACUCUCAUGAGUUCUAACACUCCUCCUUGAGAUUUGCCUUGGACAUGCCAAGCUUCAACCUUAGGAACUCCAGCCUUGAUUUAGGAAGUGCCUUAGUCAUUAUGUCAGCAAGUUGCACAUCAGUUGAGCAAGAAUGCAACUUGACAAGUGAAUUCUUUUCAGCUUCCCUUAUAGAAUGAAAUUUUACAUUUAUGUUUUUAGUCCUGCCAUGUUGGACAGGAUUUUGAGCAAUGGCAAUGACUGACUUGUUGUCACAGUAAAGCUCUGUUGGUGAGCUUUGUUCCUGGCCUAGAUCAACAAGCAAUUUCCUUAACCAUAUUCCUUGAUUUGUAGUAGCUGCUGAGGAGAUAUAGUUAGCUUCUACAGUUGAUUGUUCCACUACUUCUUGCUUUCUUGAAUUCUAGCAAACGACACUUGAACUGAUUGUAAAUACAUAACCUGAAGUGCUCUUCAUGUCAUCAACACUUCCUGCCCAAUCACUAUCAGCAUAGCCAUCUAGCUUAACUCCUCCUGUCUUUAAAUACCAGAUGCCAAGAUUUGUUGUACCUCUAACAUACUUCAGCACCCUUUUUGCAACUCCCAUGUGAACAUUGCUAGGUGAACUCAUGAAUCUUGAAAGCAAACCAAUUGGAAACAUCAAGUCAGGUCUGGUUGCUGUCAAGUAUAGUAGGCUGCCUACCAAGCUUCUAUAUGCAGAGGGUUCCUUAAGUUUCUCACCAUCAUUCUUUGAAAUUCUCUCAUUUUGUGCCAACGGAGUUGCUACUUCUUUGCAUGAUUCUAGCUUGAAUUUCUUGAGAAUAUCAACAACAUAUUUUCUCUAUGAAAUGAAGAUACUUGAGUUGCAUUGGUAUAUUUCCAUUCCAAGGAAGUAGUUCAUGAUGCCAAGGUCAGACAUCUCAAAUACAUCUUGCAUUUCCAUUUUGAACUCAGCCAACAAUCGUACAUUGCUUCCAAUCACUAGCAUGUCAUCAACAUAAAGUGACAUUACCAAUUGCAAACCAUCCUCAUUUUGUUUCAAAUACAAAGUAGCUUCAUUUUCACUCCUCCUAAAUCCAAGUUGGAUUAGAUGAGAGUCAAUUCUGCUAUACCAGGCCCUUGGUGCUUGCUUCAAACCAUAGAGAGCCUUUUGCAGCUUGUACACUUUGUGUUCAUGCCCAGUAACCUCAAAGCCUUCUAGUUGUUGAACAUAAAUUUCUUCAAGAAGUAUACCAUUUAGAAAAGCUGACUUGACAUCUAAAUGAUACACUUUCCAUCCUAUUUGACCAACAAGUGCAAGUAACAGCCUUAUAGUGUCAUGUCUGGCUACUGGUGCAAAUGUAUCACCAUAGUCCACUCCAACAACUUGAGCAAAACCCUUCACAACCAAUCUAGCCUUGUGCUUGAAGAUUGAACCAUCUGAAUUGAAUUUGGUUCUAAAAACCCAUUUUACACCAAUUGCCUUCUUAGCUUCAGGUAAUUUUGUCAACUUCCAAGUUCCAUUUCUUUCAAUAACAUCAAUUUCAGCUUUCAUAGCCUCAAUCCAUUCUGGAAAUCUUGCAACUUCUAUGUAACAUGUAGGCUCAGCAUGUACAAGAUUGCACCUCUCAUACACAUUAGAUAAUGGCCUUACCUGAAGCACUGGUGUGUCUGAAGUUGCUUCAACAUCAAGUGGAUCUUCUGCUGGUUCAAGAGUAAAUGGAGUGGUUUGAUCACAUUUAUGGACUUUCUUCAAGUCCCAAUUCCAAUAGGAAUUUUCAUCAAAGUGCGCAUCUCUACUUAUCACAAUUUUCAUUCUACUCAAGCUAUAAAUUCUGUAACCUUUUGAUUCUGCUGCAUACCCAACAAAAACACCCUUCUCAGCUCUUUCAUCAAGCUUACCUCUCUUCAUAGAUGGCACAUGAAGGUAACACAAUGAACCGAACACUUUCAGGUGCUUGACAUAUGGUUUUACACCAGACCAUGCCUCUAUUGGUGUUUUGCUCUGAACAGACUUAGUCGGUAGUCUAUUAAGCAAAUAUACUGAGGUGUUAACUGCUUCAGCCCAUAGANNNNNNNNNNNNNNNNNNNNNNNNNNNNNNNNNNNNNNNNNNNNNNNNNNNNNNNNNNNNNNNNNNNNNNNNNNNNNNNNNNNNNNNNNNNNNNNNNNNNNNNNNNNNNNNNNNNNNNNNNNNNNNNNNAUUUGGUUUUUAGAAAAUAAACCCAAGUCAUUCUACUGAAAUCAUUAAUAGAUAGUACAAAAUAAACAUUGUUGCUCAAUGAGGCUACGCUCAUUGGUCCACAAAUAUCUGAAUGAACUAAUUCCAUCUUGUGAGUAGUUCUCUUGGACAUAUUUGAGGGAAUGAUUUGCGAUGUGCUUCCCUAUCUCACAACUUUCACAAGUUUGAGCAUUAACUGUGAUUUCAAGCAUGUCUUCAACCAUACCAGCUUCUUGCAUGAACUUCAAUGACUUCAAGUUGAAAUGACCAUAUCUUUUGUGCCAAACAACACUCUCAUCAAUCUUGGCACUAAAGACAUGACCUUCAACUAAAUCAAGCUUCAAAUAAAAGCUAUUUCCAUUCAUUUUAAUUUUUGCUAUCUCUGUUCCAUGUACAUCAGUGAUAAAACAAAAAUUUUCUUUAAAAGAGACUGCAUAUCCAUUUCUUAGCAUUUGUGUAACACUAAGAAGAUUUUGAUCUAGUUCUGGAAUGUAAAGAACAUUAGUGACAAUUUUUGUACCUCUCUUGGUGCUGAUAGCAAUUGUUUUUUUUCCUUUGGCCUGCACAACUUCACCAUUUCCCAACUUGUCCUUUGGUUGAAUUGAUCUGUCAAUGGAUGUAAAAAUUGAUAGUGUUUGGUCAUAUGACUGGUGCAACCACUGUCAAUGAGCCAAGUAUUCAGUUCAUGAGAACUGAGUGCUUGUGAUGCCAUAAAUAAAUGCUCAUCAUCUUUUUUGUCUUCUUCAAUCACAUUUGCAUGUUGUUGUGUUUGCUGCUGAGAUUGUUUUUUCUUGGCUCUGCAAUACUUCUCACUGUGGCCAAGUUUAUUACAGAAAUUACAAUUAAAAAGAGGUUUACCUUUGUAUCAACAAUCUUUCUCAACAUGGUUGAUUCUGCUGCAAUGAGAGUAAGGCGAAAAGUUUCAUUUUCUUGAAGAUCCUUCAACUUUCCCUUUGUUGUUCUUGAAGAACUUCUUUCCUUGCAGGUUUCUAGAACUCUUUCCCUUAUGAUUUGCUUGAAAAGCACCUUCAGUAGCUUCAUCACCUCUCAUUAAGACCCUUUGCUCCUGCGCAUGAAGCUUGUUGGUUAACUCUGCAAUUGUGAGACUUUGCAAGUCAUAAGACUCUUCAAUUGCAGAGAUCUUGGCUUCAAGCUUUUGAGACACUGAAACCAUGAUCUUUUCUACCACCUUUUGAUCUGUAAAUGCCUCACCAAGAAGUCUCAUUUGGUUUACAACAUCCAUUAACUUGCUAGAAUAAUCUUUCACAGAUUCGUUGUCUUUCAUCUUCAUCAAUUCAAACUCUCUCUUCAAUGUGAGGAACCUGACAGUUUUGACUUUGUCACUACCCUCAAAUUCACCUUGGAGCUUGUCUCAUACCUGUUUAGGUGUUUCCAAGUCCAUGAUUUUGGUGAAGAUGUGGUCUGCAAGUCUUGAAUGUAGGCAGGUGAUGGCUUUGUCUUUCUUGAGUUUUUCUUCCUCAUAUGCUUUCAUCUGAGCAACUGUUGGAUUUGCUCCCAAUGGUGGUGGAUAAGCUUCAGACAUCACAACAUUCCACAAACCUUGAGACGUUAAGUAAAACCUCAUCUUGACAGACCAAAUGUGAUAGUGUUCACCAUUAAACACUGGAAUAACAGAGGAAGUACUGCUGGAAGUAGACAUGUUUGCACCACAACUGCCUGAAAAAAUAAAUCACUCAGCCUCACUAUGUUUAGCACUCAAAAUACUCAAAGAAACUUUGCCUCACAACCCGUAGGAAUAGGGCUCUAAUACCACUGUCAGAAUUUUUUAAAAAACUAGAACUUGUAGAGAAAAAAUAAAUAAUUUGAGAGUUAAGAAUUGAAGGAAGGCACACAUCUAUUUCACAAAUGAGAAUGCCUAUUUAUAGGCUUACAACCAAACGGAAAUUGCAAAAAAAUCUCAGCUCCUUUCAGAUUUUAUUGACACUACUUCUACUAACUGAAAACAGAAAAUUAUGGAGCAAGAAUCUGAUAUGAAACAAUAACAAAGACUAACUCUAACUAAGACUUUUUCAAACUUCAGAGGCAAACUCUCAUGAGUUCUAACAUUAAUCGAUAUGCAUAAGUUCUCUAGUAGUGGAGCAGAUCUUUACAUUCGUGUAGCAGAUACGGAACUAGGUAAAAUGGUCUUGUUUCCUUUACCUCUUUCUCUCUCUGCUUAGAUACUGG